GCAAACUUGGUCAUUUAGAGGAAGUAAAAGUCGUAACAAGGUUUCCGUAGGUGAACCUGCGGAAGGAUCAUUAGAAAAUAAAAAUGCCUUUAUGGCAUUUUUUAUACAUCCACAUACCAUUUUUGCAUAUGUAAUAGUAUUAUUAUUAUAUGUAAUUUUUUAUAAAGUCGCCUUUUUUUAAGGGUGCAUUAAAUAAAAUAAAGAAAAACUUUCAACAAUGGAUCUCUUGGCUCUCGCAUCGAUGAAGAACGCAGC
RNAcentral lists this unclassified non-coding RNA (255 nucleotides) under uncultured fungus. RNAcentral's name for it is "partial contains small subunit ribosomal RNA, internal transcribed spacer 1, and 5.8S ribosomal RNA". The stretch from base 1 to 73 matches the Rfam family "Eukaryotic small subunit ribosomal RNA", at positions 1759 to 1831 of the family's 1831-position model. The record is from RNAcentral. Lineage: Eukaryota; Fungi.